This 414-nucleotide ribosomal RNA is filed under the name uncultured bacterium. RNAcentral describes it as "bacterial SSU rRNA". It matches the Rfam family "Bacterial small subunit ribosomal RNA", at positions 355 to 766 of the family's 1533-position model. The record is from RNAcentral.
UAAGGAAUAUUGGUCAAUGGACGCAAGUCUGAACCAGCCAUGCCGCGUGGAGGAUUAAGGCCCUCUGGGUUGUAAACUCCUUUUAUCUGGGAAGAAAUGUACUUUUUCUUGAGUACUUGACGGUACCAGAGGAAUAAGCACCGGCUAACUCCGUGCCAGCAGCCGCGGUAAUACGGAGGGUGCGAGCGUUAUCCGGAUUUACUGGGUUUAAAGGGUGCGUAGGUGGGCUUAUAAGUCAGUGGUGAAAUCUCCGGGCUUAACUUGGAAACUGCCGUUGAUACUAUAGGUCUUGAAUUAUCUGGAGGUAAGCGGAAUAUGUCAUGUAGCGGUGAAAUGCUUAGAUAUGACAUAGAACACCAAUUGCGAAGGCAGCUUACUACAUAUAAAUUGACGCUGAGGUACGAAAGCGUGGGG